AAUAAAUUAAUUUUUCACUUUUUAUCUUUAAUUUUUGAUUCUUCGUCUUAUUAAAUUUUUUAUUGAUAUUUUUGUUUUUAUUAGAUGAUAAAUCAUGAAUAUUACUUUACGUGUGACUAUUUUUUUUUUAAUUUUCUAAAUUUUUUUCAAAUAAAACGGAUGGUCAAACGUUGGAUACAGAAAUCGAAGAAUUCGUUUUUU
RNAcentral lists this microRNA precursor (201 nucleotides) under Oryza brachyantha (malo sina). RNAcentral's name for it is "MIR812 microRNA precursor family". It matches the Rfam family "MIR812 microRNA precursor family". Lineage: Eukaryota; Viridiplantae; Streptophyta; Magnoliopsida; Poales; Poaceae. The record is from Rfam by way of RNAcentral.